CAGCAGCCACGGUAAUACGUAGGUCCCGAGCGUUGUCCGGAUUUAUUGGGCGUAAAGCGAGCGCAGGCGGUUAGAUAAGUCUGAAGUUAAAGGCUGUGGCUUAACCAUAGUACGCUUUGGAAACUGUUUAACUUGAGUGCAGAAGGGGAGAGUGGGAUUCCAUGUGUAGCGGUGAAAUGCGUAGAUAUAUGGAGGAACACCGGUGGCGAAAGCGGCUCUCUGGUCUGUAACUGACGCUGAGGCUCGAAAGCGUGGGGAGCAAACAGGAUUAGAUACCCCCGUAGUCCCUGUCUCUUAUACC
This 301-nucleotide ribosomal RNA is filed under the name uncultured bacterium. RNAcentral's name for it is "partial 16S ribosomal RNA". It matches the Rfam family "Bacterial small subunit ribosomal RNA", at positions 509 to 808 of the family's 1533-position model. The record is from RNAcentral.